GACGAACGCUGGCGGCGUGCUUAACACAUGCAAGUCGAGCGGUAAAGGCCCUUUCGGGGGUACACGAGCGGCGAACGGGUGAGUAACACGUGAGUGGACCUGCCCUCAGCUCUGGGAUAAGCCUGGGAAACCGGGUCUAAUACCGGAUAUGACUCCAUGACGCAUGUGUGGGGUGGAAGCCUUGUGCGGCUGAGGAUCGGGCCCGCGGCCUAUCAGCUUGGUUGGGGGGUGAUGGCCUACCAAGGCGACGACGGGUAGCCGGCCU
Molecule: ribosomal RNA, 265 nt
Filed under: uncultured bacterium
Lineage: Bacteria
Description: partial 16S ribosomal RNA
Rfam family: Bacterial small subunit ribosomal RNA
Source: RNAcentral